Small nucleolar RNA from Psammomys obesus (fat sand rat), 138 nucleotides. RefSeq annotates it as small nucleolar RNA SNORA64/SNORA10 family. The transcript has a single exon. NCBI's taxonomy places the organism in Eukaryota, Metazoa, Chordata, Mammalia, Rodentia, Muridae. The record is from RefSeq and is a predicted model, not a curated record.
AGCCUCUCGGCUCCGCUGGAUUACACGGGCCCAGUGUGUGGUUGGCAUAUUUUUAAGGGGGGGGGGGGGGAUUGGCCCUCCUAAUGCACGGCAGACUUGCCCCAAAGUGGCUUCUCUGUUCCUAGGAGUGCAACAGCU